RNAcentral lists this ribosomal RNA (252 nucleotides) under uncultured bacterium. RNAcentral describes it as "partial 16S ribosomal RNA". It matches the Rfam family "Bacterial small subunit ribosomal RNA", at positions 524 to 776 of the family's 1533-position model. The record is from RNAcentral.
UACGAAGGGUGCAAGCGUUAAUCGGAAUUACUGGCGUAAAGCGUGCGCAGGCGGCUUUGCAAGACAGAUGUGAAAUCCCCGGGCUCAACCUGGGAACUGCAUUUGUGACUGCAAGGCUAGAGUACGGCAGAGGGGGAUGGAAUUCCGCGUGUAGCAGUGAAAUGCGUAGAUAUGCGGAGGAACACCAAUGGCGAAGGCAAUCCCCUGGGCCUGUACUGACGCUCAUGCACGAAAGCGUGGGGAGCAAACAGG